AACGAACGCUGGCGGCAUGCCUAACACAUGCAAGUCGAACGCUACCGGCGGGUCUUGUUGCGCACUGGUGCGUCACGCGUGGGAAGCGUCACUUAGGUUCGGAAUACCUCCCCGCAAGGGGUAAUAAUACCGGAUAAUGGCUUCGACCCAAAGAUUUAUCGACUCAGGAUGUGUCCGUGUGGGAUUAGCUAGUUGGUAGGGUAAAAGUCUACCAAGGCGAUGAUCCAUAGCUGGUAUGAGAGGAUGAUCAGCCACACUGGGGCUGAGACACGGCCCAGACUCCUACGGGAAGCAGCAGUGGGGAAUAUUGGACGAUGGGCGAAAGACUGAGCCAGCAAGGCCGCGUGAGUGAUGAAGGCGUUAGGGUUGUAAAGCUCUUUUAAACGGGAUGAUAAUGACGGUACCGGGAGAAUAAGCUCCGGCUAACUCCGUG
RNAcentral lists this ribosomal RNA (433 nucleotides) under uncultured bacterium. Its description in RNAcentral is "partial 16S ribosomal RNA". It matches the Rfam family "Bacterial small subunit ribosomal RNA", at positions 29 to 507 of the family's 1533-position model. The record is from RNAcentral.